RNAcentral lists this ribosomal RNA (178 nucleotides) under uncultured Klebsiella sp. RNAcentral's name for it is "partial 16S ribosomal RNA". It matches the Rfam family "Bacterial small subunit ribosomal RNA", at positions 338 to 508 of the family's 1533-position model. The record is from RNAcentral. Lineage: Bacteria; Pseudomonadati; Pseudomonadota; Gammaproteobacteria; Enterobacterales; Enterobacteriaceae.
CCUACGGGAGGCAGCAGUGGGGAAUAUUGCACAAUGGGCGCAAGCCUGAUGCAGCCAUGCCGCGUGUGUGAAGAAGGCCUUCGGGUUGUAAAGCACUUUCAGCGGGGAGGAAGGCGAUAAGGUUAAUAACCUUGUCGAUUGACGUUACCCGCAGAAGAAGCACCGGCUAACUCCGUGC